CAGAGCUCAGCCCUCGUACCUUUUGCAUCAUGAGUUAGCUAGCAUAAGCGAGCAAGGAGCCCCAAAGCCCGCCACCCCGAAACGGGGUGAGCUACUCCAGGACAGCCUAUUUUAGGGCCAACCCGUCUCUGUGGCAAAAGAGUGGGAAGAUCCUCGAGUAGAAGUGACAGACUUACCGAACCCCGUUAUAGCUGGUUGUCCGGGAAAUGGAUAUCAGUUCAGCCCCUUCAGCCCCUCUGCGAGCCAAGGGAGUUAUUCACAGGGGGUACAGCCCCUUUGAACCAAGAUACAACUUUUUAAGGAGGAAAAGGAUUAUCAUCAACCAAUAAGGGUAGCGCCUCGGUGGGCCUAAAAGCAGCCACCCCUAAGGAAAGCGUUAAAGCUCAAGCACAAUAUAUCAAUAACCCUCUCCUAAGCCCCACACACCCACCGGACUUUUCUACGUAGUAGAAGGGACCAUGCUAACAUGAGUAACAAGAGGCGAACCUCUCCCGGCACACGCGUAAAUCAGCACGGACCACCCACCGAGAAUUAACGGACCCAAUAGAAGAGGGGAAUGACAUAAAACUGGAAAAACAAUCCCCGUUGACCCCACACUGGUGUGCCCCCAGGAAAGACUAAAGGAAAGAGAAGGAACUCGGCAAACAAGCCUCGCCUGUUUACCAAAAACAUCGCCUCUUGCUAGUAUAAGAGGUCGAGCCUGCCCGGUGACAUCAUGUUCAACGGCCGCAGUAUUUUAACUGUGCUAAGGUAGCGCAAUCACUUGUCUUUUAAAUGAGGACCUGUAUGAAAGGCGUGACGAGGGCUUAACUGUCUCCUUUUUCAAGUCAGUGAAAUUGAUCUCUCCGUGCAGAAGCGGAGAUUGUACCAUAAGACGAGAAGACCCUGUGGAGCUUGAGACGUCAGGGCAGCCCAUGCAGACAUCCCUCCCCACGAGGCCAGGAGCAUAAUGGACCCUGCCCCAGUGUCUUCGGUUGGGGCGACCAUGGGGAACACCCAACCCCCAUGAAGAAUGGGAGCACUCCUAGAACCCGGAGCCCCCGCUCUGGUUAACGGAACCUUCGACUUAGACUGAUCCGGGUAAACCGAUCAACGAACCAAGUUACCCCAGGGAUAACAGCGCCAUCCCCUUCCAGAGCCCAUAUCGCCAAGGGGGUUUACGACCUCGAUGUUGGAUCAGGACAUCCUAAUGGUGCAG
RNAcentral lists this ribosomal RNA (1198 nucleotides) under Bothus lunatus (plate fish). RNAcentral's name for it is "partial 16S ribosomal RNA". It matches the Rfam family "Bacterial large subunit ribosomal RNA", at positions 586 to 2558 of the family's 2925-position model. The record is from RNAcentral. Lineage: Eukaryota; Metazoa; Chordata; Actinopteri; Pleuronectiformes; Bothidae.